RNAcentral lists this transfer RNA (64 nucleotides) under Diplostomum pseudospathaceum. Its description in RNAcentral is "tRNA-Gly". Lineage: Eukaryota; Metazoa; Platyhelminthes; Trematoda; Diplostomida; Diplostomidae. The record is from RNAcentral.
GUGUGGAUAGUAUAAUAAGUAUGCCUUCUUUCCAAGUAGGUGGUCUCUUUUUAGAGUCUAUACA